RNAcentral lists this non-coding RNA (244 nucleotides) under Salinivibrio sp. KP-1. RNAcentral describes it as "Bacterial large subunit ribosomal RNA". It matches the Rfam family "Bacterial large subunit ribosomal RNA", at positions 2687 to 2925 of the family's 2925-position model. The record is from Rfam by way of RNAcentral. Lineage: Bacteria; Pseudomonadati; Pseudomonadota; Gammaproteobacteria; Vibrionales; Vibrionaceae.
GAGGACCGGAGUGGACGAACCGCUGGUGUUCGGGUUGUGUCGCCAGACGCAUUGCCCGGUAGCUAAGUUCGGCACAGAUAAGCGCUGAAAGCAUCUAAGCGCGAAGCUGGCCCCGAGAUGAGUCAUCCCUAGAGCUUCGAGCUCUCUAAAGGGUUGUUCUAGACUAGAACGUUGAUAGGCAGGGUGUGUAAGCGCUGUGAGGCGUUGAGCUAACCUGUACUAAUUGCCCGUGAGGCUUAACCAU